Long non-coding RNA from Hyaena hyaena (striped hyena), 336 nucleotides. RefSeq lists it as uncharacterized. The record is from RefSeq and is a predicted model, not a curated record. NCBI's taxonomy places the organism in Eukaryota, Metazoa, Chordata, Mammalia, Carnivora, Hyaenidae. The transcript is spliced from 2 exons.
UGCUGCUGGAGUAAACCACGUUAAAGAAUUGAGAAUUAAAAUAACACAUUGUGACAAGAUUCUAAAAGUAUAUGGCAUGUGGAGAAACUUAGCUUACAAUUGAAAUACAGACGUUUUGGGCUGGUGUGGAAAAACUGCAUAACACUCACAGAAGGAGCUGGAAACAACGUAAUUUACGGAUAUCUUUGAAAGAGCAUGAAGAUCGUGAAAUGUCCAAAAAGUUAACAAAGAGGCAAACAGGAGCUAGAGAAAGGAAGUCAAAGAAAGAUGAAGCAGCAAGAAUUGAAAUUUGAGGGGUAAAUUUUCCUAAUGUUAAAUAAAACAUAUGCAAGACAA